This 218-nucleotide long non-coding RNA is filed under the name Nicotiana benthamiana. RNAcentral's name for it is "long non-coding RNA (NBEN_LNC012421)". The record is from RNAcentral. Lineage: Eukaryota; Viridiplantae; Streptophyta; Magnoliopsida; Solanales; Solanaceae.
GAGACCUGCCAUUUGACAUGUUACUUAACCCGCACCAAUGGGCACUAGAUCCCAUAACCCUAUCUACACCGGUGGCACUAGUUGGAUAGUCUGACAAGUCAAAACUUUCUCCGACAUUGCUAAGGAAAUGCGUCAAAUGUUAACCAACCCAGCAACUCCCAGAGUUGAGGAUGAUGAGAUUCAGUUGGAUGAGCCUGAGGGCGAUGACCUUGCUGGGG